RNAcentral lists this ribosomal RNA (406 nucleotides) under uncultured bacterium. RNAcentral describes it as "bacterial SSU rRNA". It matches the Rfam family "Bacterial small subunit ribosomal RNA", at positions 30 to 443 of the family's 1533-position model. The record is from RNAcentral.
AUUGAACGCUGGCGGAAUGCUUUACACAUGCAAGUCGAACGGCAGCACGGGGCAACCUGGUGGCGAGUGGCGAACGGGUGAGUAAUAUAUCGGAACGUGCCCAAUCGUGGGGAUAACGUAGCGAAAGUUACGCUAAUACCGCAUACGAUCUACGGAUGAAAGCGGGGGAUCGCAAGACCUCGCGCGAAUGGAGCGGCCGAUAUCAGAUUAGGUAGUUGGUGGGGUAAAGGCUCACCAAGCCAACGAUCUGUAGCUGGUCUGAGAGGACGACCAGCCACACUGGAACUGAGACACGGUCCAGACUCCUACGGGAGGCAGCAGUGGGGAAUUUUGGACAAUGGGCGCAAGCCUGAUCCAGCCAUUCCGCGUGCAGGAUGAAGGCCUGGUGUAACUAGCUUUGUUACGG